AUGGCUAUGAAAUGCUACUGUACAAACACAGGCUUCGUGGCAGGAUUCCAGGCUGGUGACAAAGCAGCCCAACAGGGUGAAGGGAAGGAGCAGGAGUGGCUGCGUCCUAAAACAUCUUCCACCAUUCAGCUCUUUCACUUGAGAGCUUUCAGAAACAAAGGAAGAACAGUGGAAGGUGGGAAAGGCACAACUGGAUUACAAACAUUUCCAGAUGACCUCAUACUCUACUUGAGAGACCAAACUGCGGUCAUCGGGUAUAAAGCCUGGAAACCUCACCCCACGCCUCCAGGCUCAGAAGAAGCACCUCUCGGCCUCCAGGAGCUUCCCUCUACCAGCCGUUCUAACUUCUCUCCUACUUUACCUGCUCCAGCUCCUUCCAGGAACGAGGUCUACUAGGGCUUCUUCCAUAAAGAAAACACAAAAACCCCCUCAGUGGAGAUGUGGCAUCCUCUGUCCCUCUACCGCCAGGCAUAAGAGUUCCCCUCAGUAGCUCUGUCCACUUUGCCACCCACCACAAACAAGUUCCAACAAUGGCAUGGAGGGUACCAAGAGGUUAAGUGUGUUCAAAGCCCAGGAAAUUAUUUUGAAGGGGAUUAACAGUAUUGUCUUUUACUGUAAUAUUUAAAAUUUUUAUUGCUGGGCAUGGUGGCACACACUUGCAAUCCCAACACUUGGGAGGCUGAGGCAGGAGGAUUGCCAUCAGUUGGAGGCCAGCUUGGGCUACAAAGUGAGUUCAAGGUCAACCUGAACUACAUAGUGAGACCCUGUCUCCAAAAUAAAUAAAUACAUAAUUUAAACAUUCAGUGUAAGGAGAAGUCAUAAAAUGUAGGAUCUAGAUGGCAUUCAGCAAGGAAAGAAGGUAUUCAUAAUAAUGACAGAUGUGAGC
Molecule: long non-coding RNA, 886 nt
Filed under: Fukomys damarensis (Damara mole-rat)
Lineage: Eukaryota; Metazoa; Chordata; Mammalia; Rodentia; Bathyergidae
Description: lncRNA (ENSFDAG00000028835.1)
Source: RNAcentral